CAGUCGCCACGGUAAUACGUAGGUGGCAAGCGUUGUCCGGAAUUAUUGGGCGUAAAGGGCUCGCAGGCGGUUUCUUAAGUCUGAUGUGAAAGCCCCCGGCUCAACCGGGGAGGGUCAUUGGAAACUGGGAAACUUGAGUGCAGAAGAGGAGAGUGGAAUUCCACGUGUAGCGGUGAAAUGCGUAGAUAUAUGGAGGAACACCGGUGGCGAAAGCGGCUCUCUGGUCUGUAACUGACGCUGAGGCUCGAAAGCGUGGGGAGCGAACAGGAUUAGAUACCCCCGUAGUCCCUGUCUCUUAUAA
This 301-nucleotide ribosomal RNA is filed under the name uncultured bacterium. RNAcentral describes it as "partial 16S ribosomal RNA". It matches the Rfam family "Bacterial small subunit ribosomal RNA", at positions 509 to 809 of the family's 1533-position model. The record is from RNAcentral.